GAUCCUGGCUCAGGAUGAACGCUGGCGGCGUGCUUAACACAUGCAAGUCGAACGGAGUUUUAACGGAAGUUUCGGAUGGAAGUUUAAGAACUUAGUGGCGGACGGGUGAGUAACGCGUGGGUAACCUGCCUCAUACAGGGGGAUAACAGUUAGAAAUGACUGCUAACACCGCAUAAUAUAGUGAAACCGCAUGAUUUUGCUAUCAAAUAUUUAUAGGUAUGAGAUGGGCCCGCGUCUGAUUAGCUAGUUGGUGGGGUAAAAGCCUACCAAGGCGACGAUCAGUAGCCGGCUUGAGAGAGUGACCGGCCACAUUGGGACUGAGACACGGCCCAAACUCCUACGGGAGGCAGCAGUGGGGAAUAUUGGACAAUGGGGGAAACCCUGAUCCAGCGACGCCCGCGUGAGUGAAGAAGUAUUUCGGUAUGUAAAGCUCUAUCAGCAGGGAAGAUAAUGACAGUACCUGACUAAGAAGCCCCGGCUGACUACGUGCCAGCAGCGGC
This 500-nucleotide ribosomal RNA is filed under the name uncultured bacterium. RNAcentral describes it as "bacterial SSU rRNA". It matches the Rfam family "Bacterial small subunit ribosomal RNA", at positions 15 to 518 of the family's 1533-position model. The record is from RNAcentral.